GACGAACGCUGGCGGCGUGCUUAACACAUGCAAGUCGAACGGAAAGGCCCUGCUUUUGUUGGGCGCUCGAGUGGCGAACGGGUGAGAAACACGUGAGUAACCUGCCCCUGACUUAGGGAUAACUUCAGGAAACUGGGGCUCAUACCGGAUAGGAGCUCCUGCUGCAUGGUGGGGGUUGGAAAGUUUCGGCGGUGGGGGAUGGACUCGCGGCUUAUCAGCUUGUUGGUGGGGUAGUGGCUUACAAAGCCUUUGACGGGUAGCCGGCCUGGGAGGGUGACCGGCCACAUUGGGACUGCGAUACGGCCCAGACUCCUACGGGAGGCAGCAGUGGGGAAUAUUGCACAAUGGGCGGAAGCCUGAUGCAGCAACGCCGCGUGCGGGAUGACGGCCUUCGGGUUGUAAACCGCUUUCGCAGGUGACGAAGCGUGAGUGACGGUAAUGGGUAAAGAAGCACCGGCUAACUACGUG
This 468-nucleotide ribosomal RNA is filed under the name uncultured bacterium. Its description in RNAcentral is "partial 16S ribosomal RNA". It matches the Rfam family "Bacterial small subunit ribosomal RNA", at positions 28 to 507 of the family's 1533-position model. The record is from RNAcentral.